This 743-nucleotide small RNA is filed under the name Pan troglodytes (chimpanzee). Its description in RNAcentral is "processed transcript". The record is from RNAcentral. Lineage: Eukaryota; Metazoa; Chordata; Mammalia; Primates; Hominidae.
UGAAGGAUAAGAAAGAUCUACUGCCUUGGACCUUCUAGGGUUUACCAAAUAGUCAAGUUCUAUAGGCUGGGAAAAUUGCUUGCCUUUCUUCUACCUGGUGGUCUUAAUUUUGUACCUGUUUAUCAGUUGAGGGAGACGACUGGGUCAUGUCAAUGGCUGUUAACAGACUAAAGUUUUUUAACUCACAGGUCUUCUGGCUCAUCCCCCCUACAGCCCACAACCUGGAGCUGUACGAGAAUUGGCUGCUGUCAGGGAAACAGGGAGACAUCUUUCUGGGUGACCGGGUAUCAGAUUGUCAGCGCAUUGAGCUCAAGCAGGGCUAUACCUUCGUCAUUCCCUCAGGCUGGAUUCAUGCUGUGUAUACUCCUACAGACACAUUAGUGUUUGGGGGCAAUUUUUUGCAUAGCUUCAACAUCCCUAUGCAGUUAAAAAUAUACAACAUUGAAGAUCGGACACGGGUAAGUAAUCUUAUAUAACAGUUGCAUGUGAAGAGGUUUACUCCAGUUAUGAUAGAUGUUACAAGAGAUUCACUGAUGGUUUAUCAAAACUUCCAUUUUUCUUUCAGUUAAAAUGCAGUGUUGACAUUUUGGGAACACACAAAAUUUUAAAUUUAAUUUUUUUUUUUUUAAGACAGAACCUUGUUCUGUUUUCCAGGCUAGAGUGCAGUGGCGUGAUCAUGGAUGAUUGCAGCCUCAACCUCCCAGGCUCAAGCAUCUUCCUGCCUCAGCCUCCCAAGUAGCUGG